UCGCUAAAUUAGCUGUGUUGUCGUGUGGGAUCUUAGGAAAUGUGGUUUUCUUCUCCUUGAAUACAGAAAUAUUAAAUGACAUGAUGUUCUUGUUACACAAGGUGGAGGCAGGAAUGGAGGUGGAGCAGAGCAGCACUCUGAGAAGGAGUAAGGAGCUGUGGCCAAAGCCUUGAGGAAAGUCAAGAGCUGCCCCAGCAGAAACUACUAGUAAAGUUAAAGGUCUUCAAUGCAGCAAGUUCCCUUUUCCUCCUGUUGUUCCAAUGGUGUCCUGCUGUCCUGGCUGUGUGAGGUUCCCAGAGUUAUUCUGGACCCUGAUAAAUCAGACCUUCAAUAUGGAGAAAUGACCUGCACCUGGAUCCACGCAGGAUGUUCUUGUGGCUUAAAGGAGAACCUCUGAGGAGGCAGAAAGCUGGUUCUUUCUGGAGGGAGAAGGCAUGAGAGACAGACUGGAUUGAAAAGAGAAAGAGGACCCUCAACUCUCCCUAAUUUUCAAGAAUGUUGCCAGUCAAAGAGAGUUCCCCUGGUGGAAUCAAUCUCUUGCUGCCCUGGUGGGUAGGAGCUGCUUUGAGUAGCUUUGGCUUUGUGGUGCUUUCUUGGAGUUUUGGCAAUGAGGGCAACAUCCAGACCCAUGAGAUGUCCCUGCAGCAUGGAGACACCCUCCCUCACUGCAGCUGCUGCCAGCCAGCUUCUUUAUCUGGGAAAUCCUGA
RNAcentral lists this long non-coding RNA (708 nucleotides) under Taeniopygia guttata (zebra finch). RNAcentral describes it as "lncRNA (ENSTGUG00000018977.1)". The record is from RNAcentral. Lineage: Eukaryota; Metazoa; Chordata; Aves; Passeriformes; Estrildidae.